RNAcentral lists this ribosomal RNA (301 nucleotides) under uncultured bacterium. RNAcentral's name for it is "bacterial SSU rRNA". It matches the Rfam family "Bacterial small subunit ribosomal RNA", at positions 333 to 649 of the family's 1533-position model. The record is from RNAcentral.
UUAAACCUACGGGGGGCAGCAGUGGGGAAUAUUGGGCAAUGGGCGCAAGCCUGACCCAGCAACGCCGCGUGAAGGAAGAAGGCUUUCGGGUUGUAAACUUCUUUUAAGAGGGAAGAGAAGAAGACGGUACCUCUUGAAUAAGCCACGGCUAACUACGUGCCAGCAGCCGCGGUAAUACGUAGGUGGCAAGCGUUGUCCGGAUUUACUGGGUGUAAAGGGCGUGCAGCCGGGCUGACAAGUCAGAUGUGAAAACUAUGGGCUCAACCCAUAGCCUGCAUUUGAAACUGUAUUUCUUGAGUGC